CAGCACGGGCUUCGGCCUGGUGGCGAGUGGCGAACGGGUGAGUAAUACAUCGGAACGUGCCCUGUAGUGGGGGAUAACUAGUCGAAAGAUUAGCUAAUACCGCAUACGACCUGAGGGUGAAAGCGGGGGACCGCAAGGCCUCGCGCUACAGGAGCGGCCGAUGUCUGAUUAGCUAGUUGGUGGGGUAAAGGCCUACCAAGGCGACGAUCAGUAGCUGGUCUGAGAGGACGAUCAGCCACACUGGGACUGAGACACGGCCCAGACUCCUACGGGAGGCAGCAGUGGGGAAUUUUGGACAAUGGGGGCAACCCUGAUCCAGCAAUGCCGCGUGUGUGAAGAAGGCCUUCGGGUUGUAAAGCACUUUUGUCCGGAAAGAAAUGGCUCUGGUUAAUACCCGGGGUCGAUGACGGUACCGGAAGAAUAAGCACCGGCUAACUACGUGCCAGCAGCCGCGGUAAUACGUAGGGUGCGAGCGUUAAUCGGAAUUACUGGGCGUAAAGCGUGCGCAGGCGGUUUUGUAAGACAGGCGUGAAAUCCCCGAGCUCAACUUGGGAAUGGCGCUUGUGACUGCAAGGCUAGAGUAUGUCAGAGGGGGGUAGAAUUCCACGUGUAGCAGUGAAAUGCGUAGAGAUGUGGAGGAAUACCGAUGGCGAAGGCAGCCCCCUGGGACGUCACUGACGCUCAUGCACGAAAGCGUGGGGAGCAAACAGGAUUAGAUACCCUGGUAGUCCACGCCCUAAACGAUGUCAACUAGUUGUUGGGGAUUCAUUUCUUCAGUAACGUAGCUAACGCGUGAAGUUGACCGCCUGGGGAGUACGGUCGCAAGAUUAAAACUCAAAGGAAUUGACGGGGACCCGCACAAGCGGUGGAUGAUGUGGAUUAAUUCGAUGCAACGCGAAAACCUUACCUACCCUUGACAUGCCACUAACGAAGCAGAGAUGCAUCAGUGCCCGAAAGGGAAGGUGGACACAGUGCUGCAUGGCUGUCGUC
RNAcentral lists this ribosomal RNA (990 nucleotides) under Cupriavidus necator. RNAcentral describes it as "bacterial SSU rRNA". It matches the Rfam family "Bacterial small subunit ribosomal RNA", at positions 70 to 1056 of the family's 1533-position model. The record is from RNAcentral. Lineage: Bacteria; Pseudomonadati; Pseudomonadota; Betaproteobacteria; Burkholderiales; Burkholderiaceae.